Long non-coding RNA from Entelurus aequoreus (snake pipefish), 2108 nucleotides. RefSeq lists it as uncharacterized. The transcript has 3 exons. The record is from RefSeq and is a predicted model, not a curated record. NCBI's taxonomy places the organism in Eukaryota, Metazoa, Chordata, Actinopteri, Syngnathiformes, Syngnathidae.
UUUAAAUGGCAAACCAGUUGCAUCAGUUUUGUGCCGCGGGCUUGAGAUAAGGAACUCAAGAUGGGCGGCAAGACGGCUCUAUGCUAACAUCUACUGGCGAAAUGGACAAAAGACAACUGUAAUGUUGUCCUUCAAGACAAAGCAAUGGUCAAAUACUAAUGAAUUCUCAAGUUGCUGGGAUGGCUGUAUUAUUGGAAGCAAGACUCUCAGUGGCCAACCUUCCUGAGGAUAUCUGUGGACCCCAGCAGACUUUGGUCACUUGCCCUUCCUCCUGUUUCCCUGGUCUGACGUCUUUCCUGAUUGCCUGAUUGCGCCCACCUGUGUCACCCUCCCUCAUGUGUAUAAAUGUCUCAUCCUCCUUCUGUCCUGUGCCAGAGUGUUUCGUAUCGUCUUGUGCGUACCUCCAGCGUACCUUGCCACAGUCUUGUCUUCAGCCAUUUCCACGUUUUGUUUGUACUUUUGAUCCACGGGAGAUUCUUUGUUUGUAACCUUUUGUCAGGUAAGAUUAGCUUCUUAGCAUUGCCUCCGUUGGAGCGCCUUUUUUGUAUUUGUUAGUUUUUGUUCUUUAGCCCCUUUUCCCUCCAUAGCCGGAGUGUUUUGAGUUGUUAAUAUUUUUGUUAGUUUAGUAGUCAGGUUAGAUCUGUUUUGAUAGCCUGUUUUGUUUCUCCCGUUUUGGACCCCUCCCCUUCUGAGAAUAAACAACUGUUUUCAGUAAUCCUGCAUCUGUGUCCAGAGUCCUAGUCGGGUCUUGACAAUUUCUGUGUGCGUUGCCUAACAUGCGCCUCUGCUCGUUUUACCAGCAAUGUCACAACGUGACGACUACGCGCCGUCAAGUCCGGAAAAAAAAAGCACAGUUUUAUUUUUGUUUUCCGUUUUUAAUUCAUUAUUACCGUAUUACUUUAUUAGUAUAGAUAUACCGUACAACACUAGCGUGUACUAUUAGUGUGCGUGUUGCGUGCGAUCUACUAAGACUGUGUGUACAAUUGUAAAGUGGUGCAGACCACCUUAUUGAAAUGAGGAUUUUGCAUGUACUGUAUGGGGCAUCACAACAGAGACACUCUAUUUUACCGCACAUCCAUGUUAUCAUGCUCCUACACAUAAAUGUGGCGUUUUGCUAUGUUUUCAAAAAAGCAGGAGUCACACCACUUUUUGUGGGCAUUUCAGAAGCAGUUGUGCAGCGCAUCUACAUUGGCACCACUUUUCUCUCCUUUUUUCUUUUACUGCUGAAGGUGUAUUGGAGGAAGGCUGCAAUACUGUACUCAAGAUGAAAAAAUGCUGACUUUAAGAAUGUCAUGAUCCAUGGUCCGGAUCAUGUUUUUGUUAUGUUCUGUUAGUUUGGACUCUUUUAGUUCCUUUUUGACACCUGAGUUUGUUUUAGUUACCAUGGCUACUUAUGAUUUUCACCUGCCUCUGGUGUUCGGAACGCGCACCUGCUUCUAAUCAGAGGACUAUUUAAGCCUGCCUUUGCCAGUCAGUCGUCCUGGCGUCAUUAUUGGUUUCAUGUAGGGCUGCAACAACUAAUCGAUUAAAAUCGAUUAUAAAAAUAGUUGGCGAUUAAUUUAGUCUUCGAUUCGUUGGAUCUAUGCUAUGCGCAUGCGCAGAGGCUACUUUUUUUUUUAAAAUAUAAACCUUUAUAUAUAUAUAUUUUAUUAUAAACUGCAACAUUUACAAACAGCUGAGAAACAAUAAUCAAAAUAAGUAUGGUGCCAGUAUGCUGAGUUUUUUUCAAUAAAAUACUGUAAAGGAUAGAAAUGUAGAUUGUCUCUUUUAUUCGAUUAUUAAUCGAUUAAUCAAAGUAAUAAUCGACAGAUUAAUCGAUUGUCAAAUUAGUUGUUAGUUGCAGCCCUAGUUUCAUGCCACAGUUUUGUGUUUGUUCUAUGCCAUAGUUAAUGCUAGUUGUUUCAUGCCACAGUUUCGUGUUUGUUUCAUGCCACAGUUUUGUGAGGUUCAUGUCUAUAGUUUCAUGUCCUAAGUUUUUGCCUUAGAUUCCGCAUGCGAUAGGCACGCUUGCCUUUGGGUUGUUUUCUGUUUUGUACCUCGUUGAUUGUUUCUUAAAAUUAAAUCAUGUUCCUACCUGCAAGUCCUGUCCGGUGUCGUCCGUUUGCCUU